GCGGCAUGGAUUAGGCAUGCAAGUCGAGCGAGAAGGGUUUUGAAGCUUGCUUUAGAACCCGGAAAGCGGCGCAAGGGAGAGUGACGAGUAGUUAUCUACCCCAAGGCCCGGAAUAGCUGCGGGAAACUGCAGGUAAUGCCGGAUAAUAUCCCCGGAUCAAAGGUGUGAUUCCGCCUUGGGAGGAGACUGCUUUGUACUAGCUAGUUGGUAGGGUAAUGGCCUACCAAGGCUACGAUGCAUAGCGGGCGUGAGAGCGUGGCCCGUCUCACUGGGACUGAAACACUGCCCAGACACCUACGGGUGGCUGCAGUCGAGAAUCUUCGGCAAUGGGCGAAAGCCUGACCGAGCGAUGCCGCGUGCGGGAUGAAGGCCCUCGGGUUGUAAACCGCUGUCGUAGAGGAGAAAGGUCUGAUGAAGAAUCAGAUUUGAUCUAUUCUAGGAGGAAGUCGGGGCUAAGUUCGUGCCAGCCGCCGCAGUAA
This 479-nucleotide ribosomal RNA is filed under the name uncultured bacterium. RNAcentral's name for it is "partial 16S ribosomal RNA". It matches the Rfam family "Bacterial small subunit ribosomal RNA", at positions 39 to 523 of the family's 1533-position model. The record is from RNAcentral.